AGUCGAGCGGUAAGCUGUAGCAAUACAGCCUAGAGCGGCGGACUGGUGAGUAGCACGUGGGUGACCUACCCUUAGGAUGGGGAUAGCCACUAGAAAUAGUGGGUAAUACCGAAUGUGGUUACCGGGCUGUGGCCUGGUAAAGAAAGGAGCUAUGGCUCCGCAUGAGGAUGGGCCCGCGUCCCAUUAGCUAGUUGGUGAGGUAAAGGCUCACCAAGGCGAUGAUGGGUGGCCGGCCUGAGAGGGUGAACGGCCACACUGGGACUGAGAUACGGCCCAGACUCCUACGGGAGGCAGCAGCUAAGAAUAUUCCGCAAUGGACGAAAGCCUGACGGAGCGACGCCGCGUGGAUGACGAAGGCCGAAAGGUUGUAAAAUCCUUUUGUCGAUGAAGAAUAAGCAGGGGAGGGAAUGCCCGUGUGAUGACGUUAGUCGGCGAAUAAGCCCCGGCUAAUUACGUGCCAGCAGCCGCGGUAACACGUAAGGGGCGAGCGUUGUUCGGAAUUAUUGGGCGUAAAGGGCGCGUAGGCGGUCCUGUAAGCCCGGCGUGAAAACCUGGAGCUCAACUCCGGGCCUGCGCUGGGAACUGCGGGACUAGAGUCAUGGAAGGGAAGUUGGAAUUCCAGGUGUAGGGGUGAAAUCUGUAGAUAUCUGGAAGAACACCGGUGGCGAAGGCGAACUUCUGGCCAAUGACUGACGCUGACGCGCGAAAGUGCGGGGAGCAAACAGGAUUAGAUACCCUGGUAGUCCGCACCAUAAACGAUGUACACUAGCGUUGGGUCGGGUGACUCAGUGCCGAAGCUACGUGAUAAGUGUACGCCUGGGGGAGUAUGCC
This 831-nucleotide ribosomal RNA is filed under the name uncultured bacterium. Its description in RNAcentral is "bacterial SSU rRNA". It matches the Rfam family "Bacterial small subunit ribosomal RNA", at positions 60 to 886 of the family's 1533-position model. The record is from RNAcentral.